GAUGAAGAACGCAGCGAAAUGCGAUAAGUAGUGUGAAUUGCAGAAUUCAGUGAAUCAUCGAAUCUUUGAACGCACAUUGCGCCCCUUGGUAUUCCAUGGGGCAUGCCUGUUCGAGCGUCAUUUGUACCUUCAAGCUUUGCUUGGUGUCGGGUGUUUGUCUCGCCUCCGCGUGUAGACUCGCCUCAAAACAAUUGGCAGCCGGCGUAUUGAUUUCGGAGCGCAGUACAUCUCGCGCUUUGCACUCACAACGACGACGUCCAAAAGUACAUUUUUACACUCUUGACCUCGGAUCAGGUAGGGAUAUCCGCUGAACUUAAGCAUAUCAAUAAGCGGAGGA
Molecule: unclassified non-coding RNA, 337 nt
Filed under: soil metagenome
Description: partial contains 5.8S ribosomal RNA, internal transcribed spacer 2, and large subunit ribosomal RNA
Rfam family: 5.8S ribosomal RNA (bases 1-120)
Source: RNAcentral